GUGGGGAAUCUUGCGCAAUGGGCGAAAGCCUGACGCAGCGAUGCCGCGUGCGGGAUGAAGGCCUUCGGGUUGUAAACCGCUUUCAGCAGGGACGAAAUUGACGGUACCUGCAGAAGAAGCCCCGGCCAACUACGUGCCAGCAGCCGCGGUAAUACGUAGGGGGCGAGCGUUGUCCGGAUUUAUUGGGCGUAAAGAGCUCGUAGGCGGUUCGAUAAGUCGGAUGUGAAAUCUCCACGCUCAACGUGGAGAGGCCAUUCGAUACUGUCGUGACUCGAGUCCGGUAGGGGAGUGUGGAAUUCCCGGUGUAGCGGUGAAAUGCGCAGAGAUCGGGAGGAACACCCGUAGCGAAGGCGGCACUCUGGGCCGGUACUGACGCUGAGGAGCGAAAGCGUGGGGAGCAAACAGGAUUAGAAACCCUAGUAGUCC
RNAcentral lists this ribosomal RNA (426 nucleotides) under uncultured bacterium. RNAcentral describes it as "bacterial SSU rRNA". It matches the Rfam family "Bacterial small subunit ribosomal RNA", at positions 354 to 796 of the family's 1533-position model. The record is from RNAcentral.